UGGGGAAUAUUGCACAAAGGGCGAAAGCCUGAUGCAGCGACGCCGCGUGAGGGAUGACGGCCUUCGGGUUGUAAACCUCUUUCAGUAGGGAAGAAGCGAAAGUGACGGUACCUGCAGAAGAAGCGCCGGCUAACUACGUGCCAGCAGCCGCGGUAAUACGUAGGGCGCAAGCGUUAUCCGGAAUUAUUGGGCGUAAAGAGCUCGUAGGCGGUUUGUCGCGUCUGCCGUGAAAGUCCGGGGCUCAACUCCGGAUCUGCGGUGGGUACGGGCAGACUAGAGUGAUGUAGGGGAGACUGGAAUUCCUGGUGUAGCGGUGAAAUGCGCAGAUAUCAGGAGGAACACCGAUGGCGAAGGCAGGUCUCUGGGCAUUAACUGACGCUGAGGAGCGAAAGCAUGGGGAGCGAACAGG
Molecule: ribosomal RNA, 409 nt
Filed under: bacterium
Lineage: Bacteria
Description: partial 16S ribosomal RNA
Rfam family: Bacterial small subunit ribosomal RNA
Source: RNAcentral